AAACUUACUGUGAUGUGAAUAGCAGAGAACCACUAAGCACAAGAAGAGACUGUCUCUCGAAUUUCCUUUCAGGGGCUGUAGAUAAAUUCUCCUCCUAAAGUUAGACUGAAAUGCGUGCUGGCUGCCUGGCUGUUUCUGCUAUAGCUUACAUUCAGGUCCAUCCAGGCUUCCGAACUCCAUUCCUAUUUUCAUGGAUGCUAUUGUCUGUGUUGCUGCCUUAUGGCUGAGUCUGAAGCUUCUCUCAACAUGAUGGUAUUGGGAGGUGAUUUGAUUCUCUGGGCAGAGCCCUCAUAAGCCAUAAUAGGAAGAGACCCACAGAGCUUUCCCUACCUUUCCACUCUAGGAAGGCAUAUGGAGAAGGCAUCCUAGAUAAACCAGAAAGUGGAUUAACUAGAUACCAACUACGCAGGCAUUUUGAUCUGGGACUUCUUCUAUUCAAAACUGAGACAUGAAUGUCAGUUUAUAAGCCACCCUGUCUGGGGGUAUUUUGUCAGAAUAGCGUGAGCUGAUCAAGACGGGUGGAUACUACUUAUGUUUUUUAAUCCAACAUGAAAGCUUUUGCAAGUGACAAAAGUCAUGAUACUUUUAGGUGAUGCUUUAUUAUUCAUGUAGUGUAUCUAUUGAUAGCUAUAGCUGUAUAUACAUAUAAUUAUAUAUACAUAAUUAUCAUCUAUCUGUAUCUAUGUAUCUAUUGCCUAUCUCUACCUGUCAUCUAUCUAUCUAUCUAUCUAUCUAUCUAUCUAUCUAUCUAUCUAUCUAUCAUCCAUCUAUCUGUCCAUCAUCUAUCGAUCUAUCGAUCUAUACGUAUAUAUAUCUCAUCUAUUUAUCUAUCAUCUAUCUAUCUAUCUAUCUAUCUAUCUAUCUAUCUAUCUAUCUAUCUAUCUAUCAUCUAUCUAUCUAUCUAUCAUCUAUCUAUCUAUCUAUCUAUCUAUCUAUCUAUCUAUCAUGUGUCCAUCUAUCUGUCCAUCAUCUAAUGGACUUACCUAUACAUCUUCCCAGUACACCAGCUAUAAAUUUAUGGUGGGUAGACAUGUUUGUGGGACACUUAUCAGUCCUGCAACUACCUACUUAACCCACAUAACAAAAAGAAACAGGCAGGCAGCAGAUUAGGACAGGCCUGGUGGGCUCCAGGAGGGAGAGCAAUGCCCCUCAGCUAACAGCAAGGCAUUCCCCCAAUUGCAAUCUCAUUAAACUCCACACAGGCUGGGGAUGCAUUCAGCCACUGCUUUUAGUUUUAUUUUCAGGAAAAGGACAGUAGAGAUCCAGUGAGAUUUGCCGUUUUUCAAGGUCACACACGGACAGCAUGGUAAAGAGGUAGAACGCUGGCCGUCUCCAUUCUCCACACACUGCACUGCCUGAGAGGUGAUUUCUGUCAGAGUGGAGGACGCUGGGCAGCUGACCCCUGUCAGAGAGCCUCACUCUCUUGGGAAAUUUUACAGGGCCUUUCCAAUUCCUCCACACCACAGUUAAGCAUCUAAAUGAUUCCAUUACAGCUUUUAAUACCCUCCGUCUCCCACCAAAUCAAGGCAGGAAAAAUAUGUAAAGUCUCUAGGGGAAACAGCCAACCAUUUCCUUUCUUAUUUCUCUAUGAAUGAAGCGGUUGCUGGGCUUUG
This 1613-nucleotide long non-coding RNA is filed under the name Mus musculus (house mouse). Its description in RNAcentral is "long non-coding RNA chr5:53227052-53228665". The record is from RNAcentral. Lineage: Eukaryota; Metazoa; Chordata; Mammalia; Rodentia; Muridae.